CUCCAAGGGCGAGUGGAGUCUACUACACUCUUUCUUGGCUUGUGUAGUAUACUAUACUAUAGGUCAUUCGAAAGGGCUCCGUAUAGUUGUUCUAUUUUGGGAUGUAACGUUGUGGUUGUUCCCUCGACUGACCAAACCCUCACCUCAAGAGGGAUGUGGGUGCUCCCUCCUGCUAGGAUGAGGGGAGGAAUAAUCAAACUCCUUGUCGUAGGAAGAUUUUGAGCUAUAGCUAUAAGAGAGAGGAAGCAUCUUCGCCCGCUAGCAAUUGCACUGGAUAAUGUGGCUUCUAGAUCCGACCUAGAAUAGUCCGAGGACAAGAUACUUAUAGGAUUGUUUCAUUCACAGGGGACCAUACAAUACCUACCGUAUAUAGUCCCCAGUGAACUCCCUCCUUCUCAAUCGGCGAAGCCUCACCUCACUAAGAACUC
This 428-nucleotide long non-coding RNA is filed under the name Amborella trichopoda. Its description in RNAcentral is "long non-coding RNA (ATRI_LNC000697)". Lineage: Eukaryota; Viridiplantae; Streptophyta; Magnoliopsida; Amborellales; Amborellaceae. The record is from RNAcentral.